AAUAAAGUGCCUGACAAAAGGAUUAUCUUGAUAGGAUAAAUUAUACACAUUUUAUGUGUCUUUAUUA
This 67-nucleotide transfer RNA is filed under the name Distoleon nigricans. RNAcentral describes it as "tRNA-Ile". Lineage: Eukaryota; Metazoa; Arthropoda; Insecta; Neuroptera; Myrmeleontidae. The record is from RNAcentral.